AGCCAGUGUGGCGUAGUGGUUAGAGUGUUUGACUAGGACCUGGGAGACCAGGGUUCAAAUCCCCACAUGGCCA
Molecule: transfer RNA, 73 nt
Filed under: Podarcis lilfordi (Lilford's wall lizard)
Lineage: Eukaryota; Metazoa; Chordata; Lepidosauria; Squamata; Lacertidae
Description: tRNA.Pro
Source: RNAcentral